This 492-nucleotide ribosomal RNA is filed under the name uncultured bacterium. RNAcentral describes it as "partial 16S ribosomal RNA". It matches the Rfam family "Bacterial small subunit ribosomal RNA", at positions 29 to 507 of the family's 1533-position model. The record is from RNAcentral.
AGUGAACGCUGGCGGUAGGCCUAACACAUGCAAGUCGAACGGAAGCACAGUAAGAGCUUGCUUUUACGGUUGGCGAGUGGCGGACGGGUGAGAAAUACAUCGGAAUCUUCUUUUUCGUGGGGGAUAACGUAGGGAAACUUACGCUAAUACCGCAUACGACCUACGGGAGAAAGCAGUGGAUCUUCGGACUUUGGGCGAUUCAAUGAGCCGAUGUCGGAUUAGCUAGUUGGUGAGGUAAAGGCUCACCAAGGCGACGAUCCGUAGCUGAUCUGAGAGGGUGGUGGGCCACACUGGAACUGAGACACGGUCCAGACUCCUACGGGAGGCAGCAGUCGGGAAGCUUGCGCAAUGGGCGAAAGCCUGACGGAGCAACGCCGCGUGAGUGAUGAAGGUCUUCGGAUCGUAAAACUCUGUUAUUAGGGAAGAACAAAUGUGUAAGUAACUAUGCACGUCUUGACGGUACCUAAUCAGAAAGCCACGGCUAACUACGUG